GUUAAAAAGCUCGUAGUUGGAUCUUGGAAUGUGUUCAAGCGGGUUAGCUUCUGGCUGUGCGCUGCUUGACGUGUUCUUCUAUUUGGUUUUGGUGCGGUGCGCUUAACUGCGUGUCGCUCCCGGCCGAAACGUUUACCUUGAAAAAAUUAGAGUGUUCAAAGCAGACCUGUUUGAGUCUGGAUAUUCGUGCAUGGAAUAAUGAAAUAUGAAUUCGGUUCUAUUUUGUUGGUUUUCGGAACUCGAGUUAAUGAUCAAGAGGGACAGACGGGGGCAUUCGUACUCUGCCGUUAGAGGUGAAAUUCUUGGAUCGGCGGAAGACGCGCAACUGCGAAAGCAUUUGCCAAGAAUGUUUUCUUUAAUCAAGAACGAUAGUCGGAGGUUCGAAGACGAUCAGAUACCGUCCUAGUUUCGACUGUAAACUAUGCCAGCUAACGAUCAGACAGAGUUCUCUACGACUUGUCUGGCAGUUUCCGGGAAACCAAAGCGUUUGGGUUCCGGGGGAAGUAUGGUUGCAAAGCUGAAACUUAAAGGAAUUGACGGAAGGGCACCACCAGGAGUGGAGCCUGCGGCUUAAUUUGACUCAACAC
RNAcentral lists this ribosomal RNA (587 nucleotides) under uncultured marine eukaryote. RNAcentral's name for it is "SSU rRNA". It matches the Rfam family "Eukaryotic small subunit ribosomal RNA", at positions 618 to 1206 of the family's 1831-position model. The record is from RNAcentral.